This 494-nucleotide ribosomal RNA is filed under the name uncultured bacterium. RNAcentral describes it as "bacterial SSU rRNA". It matches the Rfam family "Bacterial small subunit ribosomal RNA", at positions 28 to 536 of the family's 1533-position model. The record is from RNAcentral.
GACGAACGCUGGCGGCGUGCUUAAAAACAUGCAAGUCGAACGGACUUCUCAUGAAGCUUGCGAUUGAGAAGUUAGUGGCGGACGGGUGAGUAACGCGUGGGCAACCUGCCCCUGAGCCCGGGAUAACAGUUCGAAAGGACUGCUAAGACCGGAUAUACUUGCGGUGAAGCAUUUCACUGCAAGGAAAGGGAACGCUCAGGGAUGGGCCCGCGUCCCAUUAGCUAGUUGGUGAGGUAACGGCCCACCAAGGCGACGAUGGGUAGCCGGCCUGAGAGGGUGAACGGCCACACUGGGACUGAGACACGGCCCAGACUCCUACGGGAGGCAGCAGUUGGGAAUCUUCGGCAAUGGGCGCAAGCCUGACCGAGCAACGCCGCGUGAGUGAUGAAGGUUUUCGGAUUGUAAAGCUCUGUCUUCCGGGACGAUAAUGACGGUACCGGAGGAGGAAGCCACGGCUAACUACGUGCCAGCAGCCGCGGUAAACAUAACUCGUA